AUUGAACGCUGGCGGCAUGCCUAACACAUGCAAGUCGAACGGCAGCACAAUAAAGAUUUCGGUCUUUAUGGGUGGCGAGUGGCGGACGGGUGAGUAACGCGUAGGAAUCUGUCCUGGAGAGUGGGAUAACCCGAGGAAACUCGGGCUAAUACUGCAUGACAUUGAGAGAUCAAAAGCAGGGGACCGAAAGGCCUUGCGCUCUGGGGUGAGCCUACGUCGGAUUAGCUAGUUGGUGGGGUAAAGGCCUACCAAGGCGACGAUCCGUAGCUGGUCAGAGAGCAUGACCAGCCGCACUGGGACUGAGACACGGCCCAGACUCCUACGGGAGGCAGCAGUGGGGAAUCUUGGACAAUGGGGGAAACCCUGAUCCAGCGAUGCCGCGUGUGUGAAGAAGGCCUUCGGGUUGUAAAGCACUUUAGGUGGGGAAGAAAGGUAGCGAGUGAAUAACUUUCUGCUGUGACGGUACCCACAGAAUAAGCACCGGCUAACUCUGUGCCAGCCGCCGCAGUAA
RNAcentral lists this ribosomal RNA (511 nucleotides) under uncultured bacterium. RNAcentral describes it as "partial 16S ribosomal RNA". It matches the Rfam family "Bacterial small subunit ribosomal RNA", at positions 30 to 523 of the family's 1533-position model. The record is from RNAcentral.